Molecule: ribosomal RNA, 253 nt
Filed under: uncultured bacterium
Lineage: Bacteria
Description: partial 16S ribosomal RNA
Rfam family: Bacterial small subunit ribosomal RNA
Source: RNAcentral
UACGAAGGGGGCUAGCGUUGCUCGGAAUUACUGGGCGUAAAGGGAGCGUAGGCGGAUAGUUUAGUCAGAGGUGAAAGCCCAGGGCUCAACCCUGGAAUUGCCUUUGAUACUGGCUAUCUUGAGUGUGGGAGAGGUUAGCGGAACUCCGAGUGUAGAGGUGAAAUUCGUAGAUAUUCGGAAGAACACCAGUGGCGAAGGCGGCUAACUGGGCCAUUACUGACGCUGAGGCUCGAAAGCGUGGGGAGCAAACAGG